GAGUAGCGAGAUAGAGGUGGGAAUCCUCUAGGCCGAAUAUCCAAGGUUUCCAGGGUACCUGAUCUGCCCUGGGUGAGUCGGGACCUAAGGUUGGGCGGGAGCCGUAGCCGAUGGACAACAGGUUGAUAUUCCUGUACUGCAGUAUAACAGAACUGUGGGGACACGUAAGGAGAGCGGGAGCCGGGAAUGGAAAGCCCGGUACAAGCGAGGUACCAGUACGGUAGGAAAAUCCGCCGUGCAAUGGGAAGACGUGAUGUGGAGUGAAAUAUAGUAACGAAGCCCGUGAGCCAUGCGUCAAGAAAAGCCGCUAUUGUUUAUACUGUACCCGUACCGUAAACCGACACAGGUGGAUGAGGAGAGAAUCCUAAGGCCGGCGGAAGAAGUAUUGCCAAGGAACUCGGCAAAAUGGCCCCGUAACUUAGGGAGAAGGGGUGCCUGCGAGAGCAGGCCGCAGAGAAUAGGCUCAAGCAACUGUUUAGCAAAAACACAGGUCUAUGCGAAACCGAAAGGUGAGGUAUAUGGGCUGACGCCUGCCCGGUGCUGGAAGGUUAAGAGGAGAGGUUAGACGCAAGUCGAAGCUUUGAAUUUAAGCCCCAGUAAACGGCGGCCGUAACGAUAACGGUCCUAAGGUAGCGAAAUUCCUUGUCGGGUAAGUUCCGACCCGCACGAAAGGCGUAAUGAUUUGAGCGCUGUCUCGGCAAUACAUCCGGUGAAAUUGAAGUGCCAGUGAAGAUGCUGGCUACCCGCGCCAGGACGGAAAGACCCCAUGGAGCUUUACUCCAGUUUGGCACUGGGGUCCGGUGUUGCAUGUACAGGAUAGGUGGGAGGCUGAGAGAUAGUGACGUCAGUUGCUAUGGAGCCGCUGUUGGGAUACCACCCUUGUGAUAUUGGGCUUCUAACCAGCCGCCGUGAACCGGCGGUGGGACAAUGCCAGGCGGGGAGUUUGACUGGGGCGGUCGCCUCCGAAAGGGUAUCGGAGGCGCCCAAAGGUUCCCUCAGAAUGGACGGAAACCAUUCGAAGAGUGCAAAGGCAGAAGGGAGCUUGACUGCGACACCGACGGGUGGAGCAGGUACGAAAGUAGGGCUUAGUGAUCCGGUGGUAUUAAGUGGGAAUGCCAUCGCUCAACGGAUAAAAGCUACCCUGGGAUAACAGGCUUAUCACUCCCAAGAGUUCACAUCGACGGAGUGGUUUGGCACCUCGAUGUCGGCUCAUCGCAUCCUGGGGCUGUAGUAGGUCCCAAGGGUUGGGCUGUUCGCCCAUUAAAGCGGUACGCGAGCUGGGUUCAGAACGUCGUGAGACAGUUCGGUCCCUAUCCGGCGUGGGCGCAGGAUAUCUGAGAGGAGCUGUCCUUAGUACGAAAGGACCGGGAUGGACGGACCGCUGGUGGACCGGUUGGCUUGCCAAAGCCAUGGCCGGGUAGCCAAGUCCGGAAGGGAUAAACGCUGAAGGCAUCUAAGCGUGAAGCCCCCCUCAAGAUGAGAUAUCCCAUUCUUUAAGAAGUAAACCCCCUUGAAGACGACGAGGUAGAUAGGGCAGAGGUGGAAGUGUGGUAACACAUGGAGCUGACUGUUACUAGUCGGGUGAGGGCUUGACCG
Molecule: ribosomal RNA, 1596 nt
Filed under: metagenome
Description: bacterial LSU rRNA
Rfam family: Bacterial large subunit ribosomal RNA
Source: RNAcentral